This 3351-nucleotide unclassified non-coding RNA is filed under the name Hevea brasiliensis (rubber tree). Lineage: Eukaryota; Viridiplantae; Streptophyta; Magnoliopsida; Malpighiales; Euphorbiaceae. The record is from RNAcentral.
UUACCAUUCCACAUAAAACUGUACAAAAUUCAAAUCACUUAAACUACAAGAAAUUCAGAGAUGAAUUCACAAAUUAUACUUCUCAAGUUACUUUAUUUGCAAUUGGACCAUGAACUAAAAUCUACCAUACAAUUAGUUGUGAAUGGAAAUUGCUCUUGUUCAUUAAUGCAUAGCUUUUAUAAAGACACACUUCAUUACCUAAAACUAUAGCAUUCCCACGAAUUGUCAAAUCAAUGAGGAGAGAGAUGUUUCCACUAAAUUGAACCUUACUAUUAAAUCUCUCCCUUAUUCAAAUGACUAAAUUUUGAAUGCAAGAAUUUAAUUUUAGAUUUUAAAUUAACACCCUUAACCAAAGAGUAAAAGUUCAAAUAAAGGGAUUCCAAAUAAUAAAAUUUUAAAUGUUAAAUUUCAAAUUCAGUCAUCCAAAAGCAACCUCACACUAUUAACUUAAAGUUUUGCUUGUGCACCAUCCGUUGGCUCUGCAGCAAAACAUAGCAAAUUGAUAUGUCAUUCCAUUGGACAACUUUCAUUUUUCUCACAUUGUUUCUGCCAAGGAUAAAAAUGUAGGCCAGGGAUCUCAUAUUACAAAACUAACGUUGGAAUGAAAUAGAAUAUGAACCAGUGUUUGGAUCUUUAACUGCUUUGAAGUUGUCAACACUCAUACCAAAUCGGCCAAGCAGAGAGUUUCCCAUAUCUUUCAGUUUUGCUGCUCAGAAAGUAAUUCAAAUGAAUUUAAAUAAUCAGUAGACAGAGUUGUACACAAAAAGAAGUAAAGCAGUUGAAGGAGGAAAAAUAAAAAUAAAAAAAAGAAAAAAAAGAGAGAGAGAGGGAGAGAAUACUAGUGGAUGCACACAAAAACGGCUUUCCAUUGCAAUAAUUCCAUAUCAUUGUAAAGCACCUAAACUCCGAAUUAAGAUCUUAACACGCGAAUGACAGAAAUAGUUAAAUACACUUUUUCUUUCAGGAGAAUGGAAUACAAGUUUCUGGUGCAAUUAUAGCAUUACGAUCAUACAUUGACCUUGAAUCCAUAAUUUUGACGACCAACGAUAACAUAAAUUUUUUAUCAAAAUGGUUCCAAGAAAGGGCCAAAAAUGAUGAACAAGAACAGAUGCUAAAACACAUAUUUUAGGCAACUAAACUUAAGCAUCAGUCUGCUUUAAUUUUCUAAGGUCAUGAACAUCAAGCACAGCUUAUAUAAGUGCUUGAAUAGAAAAGUUCAUCUUAUAAAUGGCCUGUCUCCAUGAAUUAUAUAUUCAAAACUUAGGCAAGGGUGGCCUAUUUUUGAGGAAGGCAGAAAAUGAGGGUUUUCAAUCUGUAAGUAACGUCACCUUUCAAAAAUAAUUAGCAUAUGAAUGCAUGUCCUUUUUGUGUACUGGUGGAAAAACAUAAUAUUUAAGUGACUCAAAUUAAGCCUUUGCUUAACUAACAUUAUGCAGUAAAGUGCUUAAUGAAAAGUUAAGCCACUUCAACAAACUGUUUGCCUCUAAUUUCAGUCUUUAUGCACCAUAUAUUCACUAAACAAUACACAAGGCUUGAAUUUCCAAGUUAUUUUGGUCUUUAUAUCACUUCCAAAGGAUUUAUGAACAUUAAACACUUUCGUUUGCAACAGUUGGUAAAGCCAAAAGGGAAACACACAUUGUCAGAGGCAUGCUGUACCUAUUCUGCGCAAUUGAAGGUCCAGCUCACCAUUUCUUUCACCAGCUUUAAAAAUAAAUUUACAAUCAUGCUCUGUUUUAAAACUAACCAGUACAUUCAAUCACCUUGAAACACUAUAGUCCAAGUCAAUAUCUUGAUAUUUAACAUAAUUUCUUAGUCCAAAACCUACUGUUUCAGCGAAUCAAGAUUCUUCACCAUUUUAACCUCCCAUUGCGUUGACCCUGAGGAUCAGGAAUUAUAAGAUUAAAAUAUAUGGAGACUAAUAGAUUAAUAUGAUGAAUUGAAAAACAAAGUCGGCAUUGAGAAAGCAUGCUAAUUACACACAAGGAUCAUUUAACACUUGAUCGACUUUAAAAAUACAGGCUGUUGUUGCCACCUCAUUCAGCGUUGCCCCCAGUUCUGAGAAGAUUAGAGACGAUUAUAAUUGCUUAAGCCUAAACCAUAUGUUUUGCCAACUUCUCCUUCUAAAGUAAAUCAUGCAUCUCAUUGAUCACAAGUAUUUGUCAUAAGAAUAAAAGGGCAAAGAGGAAGGCACAACUAAGGUGGGGACUGGAAUUGGAAAAAUCUAUCAAUAUUUAACAAAAGCAUAAGCAAUUAUGUCAAUAAUUCCAAAAUAUAUUUAUGAAUGUUCAUAGAAAAGGAAACUGCAGAUGUCCCCUUCAAGUUGAGAAACAAAAACAGGCAAACAAGAAACUGAAAAAAUUGUCUAUUGAGCUUACCAAUCAUCUCUUCCUUCAUUUUUUCUCGCUUUUCUGCAGCCAACGGCUCCAAGCGGCGAAUGGCUUUCUUAGCUUGUUCAUUUGAAGGAUCUAAUUCCAAGAUUCUUUUCAUAUCAGCUAUUGCCUCCUCAAAGUGUUCAAGCUUUUCAUGAGCCUCUCCUCGCCUAACCAGAGCUUUCAUGUAGGAAGGAUUUAGUUCUAGGGCCUUUGUACAUUCCUUGAUUGUAUCCUCGUACUUUCCCAAUUUCAAGAAGCAUACAGCACGAUUUGCAUGGCAUAUGGAACGUAACUCCACAAACGAAGGCAUGUCCAGUGCAACUUUUAAUGCAGCAUCAUAUUGUAAUAAAGCCUCCUCAUAGCGCCCAUCUCCAAAUAGUUUAUUGCCUUCCAAUUUCGCUUCAUUAGCUUGUGCUAAAGUUUUCUGUUGCAAUUCGUCGUCGUUUACAUUAGAGUCCGCUUUCACAUCUUGUCGUGGUGCUGGCGGUGGCUGUGGUUCUGGUUGUUGAUGAUUAUCUUCAUUGAUAAUUUCUUCGUUAUCGCUAACUUCGUGCUCGCUUGCCGUUUCGAACCCAUCGGAAUCGUUCUCGUUCACAUUCGAAUCUGCCGCCACCACCGACGGAGUUGUAGAAUCAGUGUAUUUGCUUGAACCCGUCGCCGUUUUGGAAGACGAUGACGAGGGAACUGCUUUUGGCUUUGGAAGAUUGUUGACUAAGAUCUGUUCGUCCACUUCUUCCGGUUCUAUCACCACCAUUUUUUUUAACAGAAACAAGCGAUGUGGCUACUGAUUUGCUGUGAUGCUUGUAGAUAUAAAGAUCAAAGGAAAAUCAAAAUUCCUGCGAGUUCCAGAAUCAUCGUUCGUUUAAUAUGUUCUUGGAGGGGUUAAAUUAUACUUCCCUUGGUUUCCUGGAAAUGCCAUAAUUUAAAUAAAACCCCUAAUCUUUCAUUUAAUUUCAAAGUAAGUCUCAAUUUUUUUUUU